This 482-nucleotide ribosomal RNA is filed under the name uncultured bacterium. Its description in RNAcentral is "partial 16S ribosomal RNA". It matches the Rfam family "Bacterial small subunit ribosomal RNA", at positions 30 to 507 of the family's 1533-position model. The record is from RNAcentral.
AUUGAACGCUGGCGGCAUGCUUUACACAUGCAAGUCGAACGGUAACAGGCCGCAAGGUGCUGACGAGUGGCGAACGGGUGAGUAAUGCAUCGGAACGUGCCCAGUCGUGGGGGAUAACUACUCGAAAGAGUAGCUAAUACCGCAUACGAUCUAUGGAUGAAAGCGGGGGACCGUAAGGCCUCGCGCGAUUGGAGCGGCCGAUGUCAGAAUAGGUAGUUGGUGGGGUAAAGGCUCACCAAGCCAACGAUCUGUAGCUGGUCUGAGAGGACGACCAGCCACACUGGGACUGAGACACGGCCCAGACUCCUACGGGAGGCAGCAGUGGGGAAUUUUGGACAAUGGGCGCAAGCCUGAUCCAGCAAUGCCGCGUGCAGGAAGAAGGCCUUCGGGUUGUAAACUGCUUUUGUACGGAACGAAACGGCUCUGGUUAAUACCCGGGGCUAAUGACGGUACCGUAAGAAUAAGCACCGGCUAACUACGUG